AGGAGGUGAACCAACGUGUGUAAAAAGACUAGUAAAGCAAUGAGCUUCCAACUCUAACAACAUAAGUGACUAACUAUUGGGAGAUUUACAGAUUCUACGGAUAAAGAUAAUCAAUUCAGAAAAUAUGGGAAGAAAAUAUUUGGAAAUAUUUUGUUUCCGUGUAUUAAAAAAUCAAUUUUCAAAAAGAAAUUAAAAAUUGAUUUAAUAUUUUCUUUUAUUUUAAUCAUUUUUAAAAAAUUGCAAAAAGUUAAGAAAAUAAUCGAUUUAA
This 268-nucleotide long non-coding RNA is filed under the name Brassica napus (rape). RNAcentral describes it as "long non-coding RNA (BNAP_LNC008704)". Lineage: Eukaryota; Viridiplantae; Streptophyta; Magnoliopsida; Brassicales; Brassicaceae. The record is from RNAcentral.